Molecule: ribosomal RNA, 48 nt
Filed under: Bipolaris maydis (southern corn leaf blight pathogen)
Lineage: Eukaryota; Fungi; Ascomycota; Dothideomycetes; Pleosporales; Pleosporaceae
Also listed under: 13 other names
Description: partial 28S rRNA
Source: RNAcentral
UGACCUCGGAUCAGGUAGGGAUACCCGCUGAACUUAAGCAUAUCAAAA